UGCUGGUGUGGUCUUCUGGACGCGAGAUGUAAUCAGAGAAAGAGAACACUGCUGGAGGAACGGUGCCCAUAGCAGAACCUAUAGGAAUAUGACAAGGAACAGGGAAGAUCCUGUGCUUUGGCUGUUACCGUGGGGUGGGAUGAAGGCAUUAUGAAGACUUUUCUGGAGCAACAGAGUAAGCCCAGUUUUCCCCUGGCUUCCUGCCAACAGUUUUGAUAUGUUGGCUGGACUCUGAGUGGAGUCCUGCAUGUCUGGG
Molecule: long non-coding RNA, 256 nt
Organism: Lemur catta (Ring-tailed lemur)
Lineage: Eukaryota; Metazoa; Chordata; Mammalia; Primates; Lemuridae
Exons: 3
Source: RefSeq, a predicted model, not a curated record